UAUAGCUCAGUGGCAGAGCAUUCGGCUGUAGAUCGAGAGGUCUCCGGUUCAAACCCGAGAAAA
RNAcentral lists this transfer RNA (63 nucleotides) under Trichonephila inaurata madagascariensis. RNAcentral's name for it is "tRNA-Tyr". It matches the Rfam family "tRNA", at positions 8 to 63 of the family's 71-position model. From Rfam's summary of the family: Transfer RNA (tRNA) molecules are approximately 80 nucleotides in length. Their secondary structure includes four short double-helical elements and three loops (D, anti-codon, and T loops). Lineage: Eukaryota; Metazoa; Arthropoda; Arachnida; Araneae; Nephilidae. The record is from RNAcentral.